GGAAUGUGGCUCAGUGGUAGAGUGCUCUCCUGGCAUGCAUGAAGCUCUGGGUUCAAUCCCCAGCACCA
This 68-nucleotide transfer RNA is filed under the name Marmota monax (woodchuck). Its description in RNAcentral is "tRNA.Ala". The stretch from base 5 to 65 matches the Rfam family "tRNA", at positions 6 to 65 of the family's 71-position model. From Rfam's summary of the family: Transfer RNA (tRNA) molecules are approximately 80 nucleotides in length. Their secondary structure includes four short double-helical elements and three loops (D, anti-codon, and T loops). Lineage: Eukaryota; Metazoa; Chordata; Mammalia; Rodentia; Sciuridae. The record is from RNAcentral.